This 2920-nucleotide ribosomal RNA is filed under the name Klebsiella pneumoniae. Its description in RNAcentral is "bacterial LSU rRNA". It matches the Rfam family "Bacterial large subunit ribosomal RNA". Lineage: Bacteria; Pseudomonadati; Pseudomonadota; Gammaproteobacteria; Enterobacterales; Enterobacteriaceae. The record is from RNAcentral.
GGGUUGUGAGGUUAAGCGACUAAGCGUACACGGUGGAUGCCCUGGCAGUCAGAGGCGAUGAAGGACGUGCUAAUCUGCGAAAAGCGUCGGUAAGGUGAUAUGAACCGUUAUAACCGGCGAUGUCCGAAUGGGGAAACCCAGUGUGAUUCGUCACACUAUCGUUAACUGAAUACAUAGGUUAACGAGGCGAACCGGGGGAACUGAAACAUCUAAGUACCCCGAGGAAAAGAAAUCAACCGAGAUUCCCCCAGUAGCGGCGAGCGAACGGGGAGCAGCCCAGAGUCUGAAUCAGCUUGUGUGUUAGUGGAACGGUCUGGAAAGUCCGACGGUACAGGGUGAUAGUCCCGUACACCAAAAUGCACAGGCUGUGAACUCGAAGAGUAGGGCGGGACACGUGGUAUCCUGUCUGAAUAUGGGGGACCAUCCUCCAAGGCUAAAUACUCCUGACUGACCGAUAGUGAACCAGUACCGUGAGGGAAAGGCGAAAAGAACCCCGGCGAGGGGAGUGAAAAAGAACCUGAAACCGUGUACGUACAAGCAGUGGGAGCACCUUCGGGUGUGACUGCGUACCUUUUGUAUAAUGGGUCAGCGACUUAUAUUCUGUAGCAAGGUUAACCGUAUAGGGGAGCCGCAGGGAAACCGAGUCUUAACUGGGCGUUAAGUUGCAGGGUAUAGACCCGAAACCCGGUGAUCUAGCCAUGGGCAGGUUGAAGGUUGGGUAACACUAACUGGAGGACCGAACCGACUAAUGUUGAAAAAUUAGCGGAUGACUUGUGGCUGGGGGUGAAAGGCCAAUCAAACCGGGAGAUAGCUGGUUCUCCCCGAAAGCUAUUUAGGUAGCGCCUCGUGAAUUCAUCUUCGGGGUAGAGCACUGUUUCGGCUAGGGGGUCAUCCCGACUUACCAACCCGAUGCAAACUACGAAUACCGAAGAAUGUUAUCACGGGAGACACACGGCGGGUGCUAACGUCCGUCGUGAAGAGGGAAACAACCCAGACCGCCAGCUAAGGUCCCAAAGUCAUGGUUAAGUGGGAAACGAUGUGGGAAGGCACAGACAGCCAGGAUGUUGGCUUAGAAGCAGCCAUCAUUUAAAGAAAGCGUAAUAGCUCACUGGUCGAGUCGGCCUGCGCGGAAGAUGUAACGGGGCUAAACCAUGCACCGAAGCUGCGGCAGCGACACUAUGUGUUGUUGGGUAGGGGAGCGUUCUGUAAGCCUGCGAAGGUGUGCUGUGAGGCAUGCUGGAGGUAUCAGAAGUGCGAAUGCUGACAUAAGUAACGAUAAAGCGGGUGAAAAGCCCGCUCGCCGGAAGACCAAGGGUUCCUGUCCAACGUUAAUCGGGGCAGGGUGAGUCGACCCCUAAGGCGAGGCCGAAAGGCGUAGUCGAUGGGAAACAGGUUAAUAUUCCUGUACUUGGUGUUACUGCGAAGGGGGACGGAGAAGGCUAUGUUAGCCGGGCGACGGUUGUCCCGGUUUAAGCAUGUAGGCUGGUUGUCCAGGCAAAUCCGGAUAAUCAAGGCUGAGGUGUGAUGACGAGGCACUACGGUGCUGAAGUAACAAAUGCCCUGCUUCCAGGAAAAGCCUCUAAGCAUCAGGUAACAUCAAAUCGUACCCCAAACCGACACAGGUGGUCAGGUAGAGAAUACCAAGGCGCUUGAGAGAACUCGGGUGAAGGAACUAGGCAAAAUGGUGCCGUAACUUCGGGAGAAGGCACGCUGGUGUGUAGGUGAAGUCCCUGCGGAUGGAGCUGAGACCAGUCGAAGAUACCAGCUGGCUGCAACUGUUUAUUAAAAACACAGCACUGUGCAAACACGAAAGUGGACGUAUACGGUGUGACGCCUGCCCGGUGCCGGAAGGUUAAUUGAUGGGGUUAUCCGUAAGGAGAAGCUCUUGAUCGAAGCCCCGGUAAACGGCGGCCGUAACUAUAACGGUCCUAAGGUAGCGAAAUUCCUUGUCGGGUAAGUUCCGACCUGCACGAAUGGCGUAAUGAUGGCCAGGCUGUCUCCACCCGAGACUCAGUGAAAUUGAACUCGCUGUGAAGAUGCAGUGUACCCGCGGCAAGACGGAAAGACCCCGUGAACCUUUACUAUAGCUUGACACUGAACAUUGAGCCUUGAUGUGUAGGAUAGGUGGGAGGCUUUGAAGCGUGGACGCCAGUCUGCGUGGAGCCAACCUUGAAAUACCACCCUUUAAUGUUUGAUGUUCUAACGUUGGCCCCUUACCGGGGUUGCGGACAGUGUCUGGUGGGUAGUUUGACUGGGGCGGUCUCCUCCCAAAGCGUAACGGAGGAGCACGAAGGUUAGCUAAUCCUGGUCGGACAUCAGGAGGUUAGUGCAAUGGCAUAAGCUAGCUUGACUGCGAGCGUGACGGCGCGAGCAGGUGCGAAAGCAGGUCAUAGUGAUCCGGUGGUUCUGAAUGGAAGGGCCAUCGCUCAACGGAUAAAAGGUACUCCGGGGAUAACAGGCUGAUACCGCCCAAGAGUUCAUAUCGACGGCGGUGUUUGGCACCUCGAUGUCGGCUCAUCACAUCCUGGGGCUGAAGUAGGUCCCAAGGGUAUGGCUGUUCGCCAUUUAAAGUGGUACGCGAGCUGGGUUUAGAACGUCGUGAGACAGUUCGGUCCCUAUCUGCCGUGGGCGCUGGAGAAUUGAGGGGGGCUGCUCCUAGUACGAGAGGACCGGAGUGGACGCAUCACUGGUGUUCGGGUUGUCAUGCCAAUGGCACUGCCCGGUAGCUAAAUGCGGAAGAGAUAAGUGCUGAAAGCAUCUAAGCACGAAACUUGCCCCGAGAUGAGUUCUCCCUGAGACUUUAAGUCUCCUGAAGGAACGUUAAAGACGAUGACGUUGAUAGGCCGGGUGUGUAAGCGCAGCGAUGCGUUGAGCUAACCGGUACUAAUGAACCGUGAGGCUUAACCUUACAACGCCGAAG